GACGAAGGAUGCAAGCGUUAUCCGGAUUCAUUGGGUUUAAAGGGAGCGUAGGUGGCCUUAUAAGUCAGUGGUGAAAUCUCUGGGCUUAACCCAGAAAUUGCCAUUGAUACUGUGGGGCUUGAGUAUAGUUGCCGUUGGCGGAAUAUGACAUGUAGUGGUGAAAUACAUAGAGAUGUCAUAGAACACCGAUUGCGAAGGCAGCUGACGAAACUAUAACUGACACUGAGGCUCGAAAGUGCGGGGAUCAAACAGG
This 253-nucleotide ribosomal RNA is filed under the name uncultured bacterium. Its description in RNAcentral is "partial 16S ribosomal RNA". It matches the Rfam family "Bacterial small subunit ribosomal RNA", at positions 524 to 776 of the family's 1533-position model. The record is from RNAcentral.